RNAcentral lists this ribosomal RNA (1440 nucleotides) under metagenome. Its description in RNAcentral is "bacterial SSU rRNA". It matches the Rfam family "Archaeal small subunit ribosomal RNA". The record is from RNAcentral.
UCCGGUUGAUCCUGCCGGAGGUCACUGCUAUUGGAGUUCGAUUAAGCCAUGCGAGUCGAGAGGGUUCGGCCCUCGGCAGACUGCUCAGUAACACGUGGAAAAACUGCCCUGUGCAGGGGGAUAAUCUCGGGAAACUGAGGAUAAUACCCCAUAGGUCACCUAUGCUGGAAUGCUUGGUGGCCGAAAGCUGCGGCGGCACAGGAUGUUUCUGCGGCCUAUCAGGUUGUAGUCAGGGUAACGGCCUGACUAGCCUACGACGGGUACGGGCGUUGAGAGACGUUGCCCGGAGAUGGACUCUGAGACACGAGUCCAGGCCCUACGGGGCGCAGCAGGCGCGAAAACUUCGCAAUGGGAAACCACGACGAGGGAACUCCAAGUGCCAGCACAUAGUGUUGGCUGUUUUCAAGCCUAAAAAGCUUGAAGAGUAAGGGCUGGGUAAGACGGGUGCCAGCCGCCGCGGUAAUACCUGCAGCUCGAGUGGUGAUCGCUUUUAUUGGGCCUAAAACGUCCGUAGCCUGUUAUGUAAAUGCUUGGGUAAAUCGAAGGGCUCAACUCUUCGAAUUCCGGGUAGACUGCAUGACUAGGGACCGGGAGAGGUUAGAGGUACUCCGGGGGUAGAGGUGAAAUUCUGUAAUCCUCGGGGGACCACCAGUGGCGAAGGCGUCUAACUGGAACGGCUCCGACGGUGAGGGACGAAGCCCUGGGGCGCAAACGGGAUUAGAUACCCCGGUAGUCCAGGGUGUAAACGCUGCGCGCUUGGUGUUGGGGUGGCUACGAGCCAGCCCAGUGCCGGAGAGAAGUUGUUAAGCGCGCUGCCUGGGGAGUACGGUCGCAAGACUGAAACUUAAAUGAAUUGGCGGGGGAGCACUGCAACGGGUGGAGCGUGCGGUUUAAUUGGAUCAACGCCGGAAAACUCACCAGGAGCGACUGCCGCAUGAGACUCAGGCUGAUGGUCUUAGUCGAUUAUUAGGUAGAGAGGUGGUGCAUGGCCAUCGUCAGUUCGUACCGUAAGGCGUUCUGUUAAGUCAGAUAACGAACGAGACCCUCGUCUUUAAUUGCAAGUUCGUCCUCCGGGGCGGGCGCACAUUAGAGAGACCGCUGGCGCUAAGUCAGAGGAAGGGGAGGUCAACGGUAGGUCAGUAUGCCCCGAAUCUCCUGGGCUACACGCGCGCUACAAAGGUUGGGACAAUGGGUCCCUACACCGAAAGGUGACGGUAAUCUCGAAACCCAAUCAUAGUUCGGAUUGGGGGCUGUAAUUCGCCCCCAUGAAGCUGGAAUCCGUAGUAAUCGCGAAUCAACAUUUCGCGGUGAAUAUGCCCCUGCUCCUUGCACACACCGCCCGUCAAACCAUGCGAGUGGGGUAUAAGUGAGGGUGCGUCUUCCUGGCGCAUUCGAACUUGUGCUCCGCAAGCGGGGUUAAGUCGUAACAAGGUAUCCGUA